RNAcentral lists this transfer RNA (72 nucleotides) under Nephila pilipes (giant wood spider). It matches the Rfam family "tRNA". Rfam says of the family: Transfer RNA (tRNA) molecules are approximately 80 nucleotides in length. Their secondary structure includes four short double-helical elements and three loops (D, anti-codon, and T loops). Lineage: Eukaryota; Metazoa; Arthropoda; Arachnida; Araneae; Nephilidae. The record is from Rfam by way of RNAcentral.
GGUUCGGUGGUCUAGGGGUAUGAUUCUCGCUUAGGGUGCGAGAGGUCACGGGUUCAAAUCCCGGCCGAACCC